This 287-nucleotide ribosomal RNA is filed under the name Aeromonas sp. CSeC15_23. RNAcentral describes it as "partial 16S ribosomal RNA". It matches the Rfam family "Bacterial small subunit ribosomal RNA", at positions 104 to 400 of the family's 1533-position model. The record is from RNAcentral. Lineage: Bacteria; Pseudomonadati; Pseudomonadota; Gammaproteobacteria; Aeromonadales; Aeromonadaceae.
GGGUGAGUAAUGCCUGGGGGAUCUGCCCAGUCGAGGGGGAUAACAGUUGGAAACGACUGCUAAUACCGCAUACGCCCUACGGGGGAAAGGAGGGGACCUUCGGGCCUUUCGCGAUUGGAUGAACCCAGGUGGGAUUAGCUAGUUGGUGGGGUAAUGGCUCACCAAGGCGACGAUCCCUAGCUGGUCUGAGAGGAUGAUCAGCCACACUGGACUGAGACACGGUCCAGACUCCUACGGGAGGCACAUGGGGAAUUUGCACAAUGGGGGAACCCUGAUGCACCUGCCGC